UUUUAAAAAUGUACUCAUUGUUAAAUAUCCACAUCCCAUGUGAUCUUGGAAGAUGAGCAUGAUCAGGCCUGGUUAGUAUUUGGAUGGGGUUUACCAAGGAAAAACAGGUGCUAUAGAUU
Anolis carolinensis (green anole) is the source of this 119-nucleotide non-coding RNA. The record is from Rfam. Lineage: Eukaryota; Metazoa; Chordata; Lepidosauria; Squamata; Anolidae.